RNAcentral lists this long non-coding RNA (212 nucleotides) under Aquila chrysaetos chrysaetos. Its description in RNAcentral is "lncRNA (ENSACCG00020012191.1)". The record is from RNAcentral. Lineage: Eukaryota; Metazoa; Chordata; Aves; Accipitriformes; Accipitridae.
AUUUGAAAAUACCCGAGUAGAGCUGCAAAUCAGUUGGGGAGAGAGGAUUUUGCCUGCCUUCUUCCUUAUUAUUUUGCUGCUGCAAGGCUGCUUUGCAAUCCGUAGACCAAACCUUGCAUACCAUGUGAUCCUCGGGUAUGAAUUACAGAUAAAGGGAAGGCCAUUCAGACCUUGUUUGUACUUCAGAAGGAAUCGGCAACGGGACACAAGAU